CAACUAUCAAGAGCAUAUCCUUAUCUAAUAAUAACAGACUCGUACCUAAUUACAUAAAAUCACCUGUUAUUACAGGUCCGAUUACAUCAAUUCCUCAUCAAACAUAGCAGCUUUGAGAAGCCGCGAUGACUUGAA
Non-coding RNA from Populus trichocarpa (black cottonwood), 135 nucleotides. The record is from Rfam. Lineage: Eukaryota; Viridiplantae; Streptophyta; Magnoliopsida; Malpighiales; Salicaceae.